RNAcentral lists this ribosomal RNA (253 nucleotides) under uncultured bacterium. RNAcentral describes it as "partial 16S ribosomal RNA". It matches the Rfam family "Bacterial small subunit ribosomal RNA", at positions 524 to 776 of the family's 1533-position model. The record is from RNAcentral.
UACGGGGGGGGCAAGCGUUGUUCGGAAUUACUGGGCGUAAAGGGCUCGUAGGCGGCCAACUAAGUCAGACGUGAAAUCCCUCGGCUUAACCGGGGAACUGCGUCUGAUACUGGAUGGCUUGAGAUUGGGAGAGGGAUGCGGAAUUCCAGGUGUAGCGGUGAAAUUCGUAGAUAUCGAGAGGAACACCGGUGGCGAAGGCGGCCUUCUGGACAGUGACUGACGCUGAGACGCGAAAGCGUGGGGAGCAAACAGG